GAAACAGCCAAAAGUUGUGCUUUUGCGGUUGAUAUAUUCUGGUCUACGAGAGAAAGGCAAACAGGUUAACGAUAAGGAAUUUUAAAGCUUGGUUUUACACUCUCAAAGUUUCUGUGAUCACAUUGGGAAUUUUGCAUAGGUAAAUUCUAAGUUUUGAAGGAUUUGUAAGAAAUGUUUGAGGGAACUGACUUAGCAUUUCACACUUAGGGCCUGUUUAUACGGAAUCCAGGCUGGCCCGCUUAGCGAGACAGCCCGGUAAGCGGGAUGAAUUUCUCUUGUGUUUAUAUGAGAAAAUUUCAUCCCGCUUGCUGGGACAAUUUUCCUAUUUUGACAUUGUUUUGACAGGUAAAAAUACCUUGCGGCGGUAUCUUUGAACUUUCAUCCCGGCAACCGGGCUAGACCGCUUGUGAGUUUAUAUGGAGAAAUUUCCAUCCCGGUAAGCGAGAUCUCGCCUCUUUCAAGCGAGAUCUCGGCAUCGGGGCCAGCCUGCUUGUCCAUAUAAACGAACGAUAACUUUUACUAUAAAAAUAACUACACAGCGAGAUCUCGAUCGCUUACUGGGCUGUCUCGCUUAGCGGGCCAGCCCGGCUUCCAUAUAAACAGGACCUAAGUCGUCAGUUCCCUCAAACAUUUCUUACAAAUCUUUCAAAUCCAGUCUUAAGCAAGAACAGACUAAAUGAGUAUGGUCGGUAAUCUACUGCUAAGGAUAUGAUUGUACAAAUCGUGGCUGUAAUUUAGCCUGCGUAACGGCUCUUAGAGAAACUGUAAUUCACAGAUGGUCACGAUCCGCGAAUAGUGAAAUGGUUUACGGAUCGUCGAUCUGGUUUACGGAUCGUCGAUCUGGUUUACAUUAGGUUUUAACUAGACUAUACCGUAUAAAAUAAGAACUGUAUUUAACCAUUAUUAUUUAAAUAAGCUUAUAUACAUGUGCAAACUUUGUACACUUCAUGAACAACAUUACAAGUGUCUUGCCAAAAUCUCGUCCAGUAACCGUUCCAAUUUUUCAUUGGUUCCUUUCAAACCUGCUACGACUUUUCUUGACCAAUCAAAAUACUCCUGUACUCGUUGCUCAGUUCACUGGAGUCGCUUUUUCCAGGUCUCGAAAAUUGUAAAGUUUGUCUGCCAGUUUCACUAACUUUGCUUUAGGACUGAAACAAAGAAGAGAAGUAAUUACUAAUCUAACUUUUUUGAUACUGAAAACUAUGGCCAUGCAGCCGACAAUUUCAGAUAGUAUAAAAAGAUAAAAAUUCCGAAGAAUAGUGACUAUAAUGUCAUCUUGAAAUUGAGGAUUUCAAUUAAAGCUAGACGAGAUUUUGAAACUGUAUAUUUUCGACUUCAUUUCCAAUUCAUCUGCACCAGAGAGGAAGAAAUACAAUACUUUACAUAUACAGCAAACAUAUACAGAGCAAGAACGAGAGAACACGCGUCACAGGAAGGAAAGAAUUGUCAACUAGACCCAGCUAUUUACAAUUAGACUAAAUUAGUUAUAGAUAAAUAAGUUAUUUGAUUAUUCUAUGUG
Molecule: non-coding RNA, 1519 nt
Organism: Paramuricea clavata
Lineage: Eukaryota; Metazoa; Cnidaria; Anthozoa; Malacalcyonacea; Plexauridae
Source: the annotation of a GenBank genome assembly